UUAUUUUCCUAUUUAAUGAAUAUCUAAUCUUUAUUUUCAUUCUUGUCCUUUUCUUGAGUUUAUUCUAAUGUUCAUUUUCUGACUCAAAUUGGAUGUUUAAAAAUCUUUUAGUCUUUUACAUGAGCCUUAAAUGCUGUAAAUUUUCCUCAAGGUACUGCUUUACCUGUGUUCUGUACAUUUUGAUAUGUAGUAUUUUUGUUUAACUGUAUUUUCUGAUUUCUUUUGUUUUCUUCAUUGACCUAUGAGUUAUUUCAAAAUAUGUUUCUUAAUGUUCUAGUCUGUUUUUUCUCCCAGUUUUUUGUCAUUGUCAUUGAUUUUGAACUGUCUUCAUGCAAGUCUGAGAAUGUGGUCUGUGUAUCAGUCCUUUGAAAUUUGCUGAGGCUUUAUGACUGGAUCAAAUAUGUGGUUAAUAUUCAUAAAAGUUCCGUGUGCAUUUCAAAAAUACGUAUUCUGCAGUCACAUGUAAUUCCCUGUAUGUGUCCAUGACAUCACGUGUGUUAAUUAUGUAGUAAUUAGCAUAAUUUGUUGUCUGAGCUCUCAUUACUGGGAGAAAUACAUUACAGUCUUCCAUUAUCAUAGAGGAUUUAUCUUUCUCUUUAUCCAUUUUACUUUAUACAUUUUGAGAUGUUAUUAGGUGCAUAAGAGUUUUAGAAAUUUAUGAGUUUUACCUUCUAUCACUACAAAGUGACUUCAAAAAUUCUAGUAGUUGACGUCUAGUAAUAUUUUUUGCCUUUAAGUCUGUUUAGUUUAUAUAUUUAUGUUUUAGGUGUAUUCUUGUAAAUAGCAUAUAGCUGGAUUUUUAGUCCAUAUUGUUUCCUUGAAGCAUUUAGAUUGCUUAAUUUUAUGUAAUUACUGAGGUAUUAUUGAUGAAUUCUCUUAUUUGUGAUUUUUAUUCUACAUUCUUUUUUCCUCUCCUCUCUUGCCUUCUUUAGAUUUACUGAGCUUUUCCUCCCUGCAUUCAAUGUGUUUCUUCUACUGCUUUGGAAGUAAUUUAGUAUUGUUCUUCCUUCUGUGAUUACCUGAGAUGGGGUCUCUUCUAUUUUCCCACGAUGGUCUCCAGCUGCUGGUCUCAAGCAAUCCUUCUGCCUCAGCCUCCCAAACUGCUGGUAUGACAGGUGUGAGCCACUGCACCCAGCCUAAUUGAUGCUCUUUGAAGGUAAUUAAAAAAAAAUCUGCUUGUAAGGUUUUGUUGUCUUAGUAAUCUUGCAGUUUUACUAUAUUGUAUUUAGCUGUGGAUUUCUUUUUAUUUACCAUAAUUAGGAUUUGUUGAGCUUAAGUUUAUAUAUUGGUGUUUUUUAUGAUUUCUUGAAAAACUUUUAGCCAUGACUCUUCAAAGAUUGCUUCUGUUCCAUAAAAAAUUAUUUUCUCCUUUUGAAAUAGAUCAGACAUAUAUGGGAUCUUACCUUUCAUGUCUUAACUUCCCUUUGAUAUGUUUCACCUCUUUAUGUCUCUGUGUUGUAUUCCAAAUUUCUUCAGAUCUCACUUCUGCUUCACUAAUACUCUCUUCAGCUGUGUAAUCUGUUGUAAAACUAUUCACUGGAUUAUUUUUAGUGAUUUUAAAACGUUUUCUUGAAAUUUGUUUAGUAUUUUUGAAUAUUUACUCUUCACUUGUUUUCAAGCUGCCUGUUUCUAGAAAUAUAUUAAACGUGCUUAUUUUCUCUUC
Molecule: non-coding RNA, 1663 nt
Organism: Macaca mulatta (Rhesus monkey)
Lineage: Eukaryota; Metazoa; Chordata; Mammalia; Primates; Cercopithecidae
Source: RefSeq, a predicted model, not a curated record